This 497-nucleotide ribosomal RNA is filed under the name uncultured bacterium. RNAcentral's name for it is "partial 16S ribosomal RNA". It matches the Rfam family "Bacterial small subunit ribosomal RNA", at positions 28 to 507 of the family's 1533-position model. The record is from RNAcentral.
GAUGAACGCUGGCGGCGUGCUUAAUACAUGCCAGUCGAGCGAACAGACGAGGAGCUUGCUCCUCUGACGUUAGCGGCGGACGGGUGAGUAACACGUGGAUAACCUACCUAUAAGACUGGGAUAACUUCGGGAAACCGGAGCUAAUACCGGAUAAUAUAUUGAACCGCAUGGUUCAAUAGUGAAAGACGGUUUUGCUGUCACUUAUAGAUGGAUCCGCGCCGCAUUAGCUAGUUGGUAAGGUAACGGCUUACCAAGGCAACGAUGCGUAGCCGACCUGAGAGGGUGAUCAGCCACACUGGAACUGAGACACGGUCCAGACUCCUACGGGAGGCAGCAGUAGGGAAUCUUCCGCAAUGGGCGAAAGCCUGACGGAGCAACGCCGCGUGAGUGAUGAAGGUCUUCGGAUCGUAAAACUCUGUUAUUAGGGAAGAACAAAUGUGUAAGUAACUAUGCACGUCUUGACGGUACCUAAUCAGAAAGCCACGGCUAACUACGUG